RNAcentral lists this ribosomal RNA (719 nucleotides) under uncultured soil bacterium. RNAcentral describes it as "bacterial SSU rRNA". It matches the Rfam family "Bacterial small subunit ribosomal RNA", at positions 36 to 752 of the family's 1533-position model. The record is from RNAcentral.
CUGGCGGCAUGCCUUACACAUGCAAGUCGAACGGCAGCGCGGGGCAACCUGGCGGCGAGUGGCGAACGGGUGAGUAAUAUAUCGGAACGUACCCUAGAGUGGGGGAUAACGUAGCGAAAGUUACGCUAAUACCGCAUACGAUCUGAGGAUGAAAGUGGGGGAUCGCAAGACCUCAUGCUCCUGGAGCGGCCGAUAUCUGAUUAGCUAGUUGGUGGGGUAAAGGCCUACCAAGGCAUCGAUCAGUAGCUGGUCUGAGAGGACGACCAGCCACACUGGGACUGAGACACGGCCCAGACUCCUACGGGAGGCAGCAGUGGGGAAUUUUGGACAAUGGGCGCAAGCCUGAUCCAGCAAUGCCGCGUGAGUGAAGAAGGCCUUCGGGUUGUAAAGCUCUUUUGUCAGGGAAGAAACGGUAUCCUCUAAUACAGGGUACUAAUGACGGUACCUGAAGAAUAAGCACCGGCUAACUACGUGCCAGCAGCCGCGGUAAUACGUAGGGUGCAAGCGUUAAUCGGAAUUACUGGGCGUAAAGCGUGCGCAGGCGGUUUUGUAAGUCUGUCGUGAAAUCCCCGGGCUCAACCUGGGAAUUGCGAUGGAGACUGCAAGGCUAGAAUCUGGCAGAGGGGGGUAGAAUUCCACGUGUAGCAGUGAAAUGCGUAGAGAUGUGGAGGAACACCGAUGGCGAAGGCAGCCCCCUGGGUCAAGAUUGACGCUCAUGC